Molecule: long non-coding RNA, 324 nt
Filed under: Numida meleagris (helmeted guineafowl)
Lineage: Eukaryota; Metazoa; Chordata; Aves; Galliformes; Numididae
Description: lncRNA (ENSNMEG00000015027.1)
Source: RNAcentral
GUCAGCCCGCCCCCGGAGGCGGGGCCUUAUAGAGGCGCGGUCACGUCACCAUGGUGACCGGCUUCUGCGGGGCGGGGCGAGCUCCGAGGCGCGUGAGCGGUGUGGGACCCAGAGCUAUCGAAUUAAGUCAAUAUUAACAGCAAAACAUGAGAGUAUUGCGAGGGAGAACAGAAGAACAGGAGGAGAACGGAAGGAGAAACAGAAUUAUAGAGGAGCAAUGUAUAAAUUUACCAUUUUUAAAGUCAGUCAGAAGACAAAUACUCUGGUGGAAAUCUUGCCAUGAAGAAGAGCUGAAAAUAAGCACCUGGAUGAGCUGAUAGUCAA